This is an RNA transcript of Pteronotus mesoamericanus, 3049 nucleotides long. It is a transcript of the gene named DnaJ heat shock protein family (Hsp40) member C5, with no coding region annotated. NCBI's taxonomy places the organism in Eukaryota, Metazoa, Chordata, Mammalia, Chiroptera, Mormoopidae. The record is from RefSeq and is a predicted model, not a curated record. The transcript has 6 exons.
GCCGCCGCCGCUUCUGCCCGGGGUCCCCGAGGCGCACCCCCGGCUGAGGAGCGCGUCAGCCGGCUGACCACCAGCGUCGCGGAGCGGAGCCGCGGAGCCGGCGGACGGACGGGCGGGCGGGCGGGCGCGCGGACAGGCUCGCCGACCAUGGCCGACCAGAGGCAGCGCUCACUCUCUACCUCUGGGGAGUCGCUGUACCAUGUGCUGGGGCUGGACAAGAACGCCACCUCCGACGACAUCAAGAAGUCCUACCGGAAACUGGCCUUGAAGUACCACCCCGACAAGAACCCGGACAACCCCGAGGCCGCGGACAAGUUCAAGGAGAUCAACAACGCGCACGCCAUCCUCACCGACGCCACGAAGCGGAACAUCUACGACAAGUACGGCUCGCUGGGCCUCUACGUGGCCGAGCAGUUUGGAGAGGAGAACGUGAACACCUACUUUGUGCUGUCCAGCUGGUGGGCCAAGGCCCUGUUCGCCGUCUGCGGGCUCCUCACCUGCUGCUACUGCUGCUGCUGCCUGUGCUGCUGCUUCAACUGCUGCUGCGGGAAGUGCAAGCCCAAGGCGGCCGAGGGCGAGGAGACCGAGUUCUACGUGUCCCCCGAGGACCUGGAGGCGCAGCUGCAGUCGGACGAGCGGGGCGGGCACUGACACGGUGCCGGGAUGUGUGUGUGGCGGCUGGGCCCGUUGGGAGCGUGGACUCGGAGAGGCCACAGACACGCCGAUUGUCAUACAGCCAGCGUCUGCCACAGAGACCACCCAGCUCACGGCCGACUCCCACCCCAGCUACCACACUGACGGGUUCAAUUAAGCUCAGCGAAGCUGCGACUCGCGGAUCAGUCAGCGCCCGGCCACUCCGACCUUAGAACCAUGAACUGCAGUCCGGGAGGCGGGGAGGGCGCCGCUCUGGCCGCAGGGAAGGGGCCCCUCCUGCCUCCGUGCCCGCCCGCCCGCCGACCCCCGACACGUGAAGUUCGUAGCAUGCAGUAUUUAAAGCAGUUUAGCUACGGUCGCCGUCCUCUGUUUUUUCCUUUUCUAAUAGCAUGUGUGGGGUUCUGUUCCAUGUCUGUCUGUGUUGUGGACGUGCCGCGGGGUGACCACAGGGACCGGAUGGCCGCGCCGCCCGGGGCCGGCGGUCAGGCUGCUGCAGCGAGUUGGCCGUGUGGCGUGGGGUCCCCGCUGCCCCCGGGCUGGGGCAGGGGCUGCUGUGGAGCUGUGGGGUCCGGUCCGGCCCGGCCGCGGGGCCGCCGGCAGCCUCUGGACUCGCUUGCUGGCCGGGAGCUGAGCGCGUCCCCGGGCGCUCUCACCCCCGCAGGCGUUGGCAGCAAGGACAGUGUGUGCAGGUCAGGCCUGCCUCGGGGGCGUGCAUCGUGGGCGUGGCCCUGCGGUGCGUGCGCGUGUGCGGGGCCUGCGGGGGGCCGCGGCCCUGAGACCGCCUUCUCUGCCUGUGUCGGCCUGAGUCCCCCGCGCUACGGCGUGUCCCUCAGCCCGCAAGCUGGGUGACGGCCACGUCCCAGCGGUCUCCCCUCCCUCCUCUGCGUUGCCUUCCACGCUCCUGCAGGCCCCCGCUAGUCGUUGUCGGGCUGAGGGUCCAGGCUGCUGGUGGCGCCUGGCCGCCCGGCCUGCGCUCUGCUUCCGGAGCCCCUGCUCGCCCCUCCUUCCACUGCUCCCCGGCCAGAGCCAGCGACGCCAGGGCCCUGGGGAGGGGCCCGCUGGACCAAAGGCCGCUCUGGCCGGGGAGCCCCGGGUCCCUUUGCUUGUUAGCCCCUCACUGCUUUUUCGGGCGGUGCCUCCCGUGAGCUGCUGGGAGGCGGCCGUGUGUCUGUCCCAGAGCGUGCGAGGGGUGCCCUGCUGUGGGGACGGGGGAGCGUGGGCCUUGUGUCGGGGCGGCAGACUCAGCGAACCCUGCCCCUGGCCUCAGAGGCCCACGCGGCCCCCACGGGCCCGGUUUCUGCAGAACAAACCUAAGAGCUGCCGCUGCACAUGCCUGGCCGUGCAGGAGAGUGGGGGGCAAGCGCGGGAGGCUGGGCGGCAGCGUGGUUCCCCGCGUCGGACAGACCAGAACAUGCUCCUGAGGCCGCUGUCCUCGCCCGCCACUGGGGCCACGCAGACGGCAGGCUCAGCGGGCGGGCGGGGCAGGAGGGCACGGCCACUCUGCGGGCAGCACCGGGGCUCGGGUGCCAUCCGGUCCCGCUCGGGGGGUUGUGCACAUUGGAUGACCGUGCGGACCCGGUGAGGGGGCAGCUCUGCACUGUGAGGCCGUGCGAGCCGGCGGCCGGCACCGGGCCUCCCCGGCAAGGAAGAGACGCGCGGUUGGACCCCCUGGCACGAGGGAGGAAGGAGGACAGGCUGCGUCCGCCCCGGGGAUGCCUCUGGGAGUCACGUGGGACAUGAGUUGUUUCCCCCGAAGGACCAAGCACCCGCUUGCAGUCACGUGUGUCAGGCCGGGCACCGCCUGCGCAGGGGCCGUGCUGUUGCUGGCCAGUGUAGGCCCUGCCGGGCGUCGGCCAGCUGUCCACCUUGCGCUCGGGAUGGGGAGCUCCCCGGGGCCGGGGGUGCUGCAGGCGUGGCAGCAGCUGGUGGGUCAGGUCUCUGCGGCGAGCCCUUGUUUUCUGUGGCCUGUCUCCCUGGUGAGCAGAGCAGUGGAGGCUGGGGGGGCACCCUGUUCAUGUGCCGAGUGGGGGGCGAGCCUGUGCCUCACUCCAGGGCUGCCCAGGGUGGUGGCCGUGUGUGGCCGGGGCCAGUGUCCGACGGCAGCUAGUGAGUGUGGCCCGGGCGUGUUGGGGUCUGUUUUGCCAAAGGCAGGGCUGGCCAGAGGUGGCAGGCGUGGCAGGCGCCUCAGGGGUCCGGCAGUGCUGCCCGUGGCUCCUGGAAGCGCACGCCAGGCACCAGCGGGCGUCUGGUGGCAGCUGCUGGCGUGGAGGUCUCUGUUGCGCUCAGUGAUGUGGUCUCGUCUCGUCUUCCUUUUGGCUCUGUCCUCGUGUCAAACUGCUUUAGGCGCUGCUGCUCCGCGGGGCCCGGCUGGGCGGGCGGCGUCCCCCGCUGUGGG